GACGAACGCUGGCGGCGUGCUUAACACAUGCAAGUCGAACGGAAAGGCCCUGCUUUUGUGGGGUGCUCGAGUGGCGAACGGGUGAGUAACACGUGAGUAACCUGCCCUUGACUUUGGGAUAACUUCAGGAAACUGGGGCUAAUACCGGAUAGGAGCUCCUGCUGCAUGUGGGGGGUGGGAAGUUUCGGCGGUUGGGGAUGGACUCGCGGCUUAUCAGCUUGUUGGUGGGGUAGUGGCUUACCAAGGCUUUGACGGGUAGCCGGCCUGAGAGGGUGACCGGCCACAUUGGGACUGAGAUACGGCCCAGACUCCUACGGGAGGCAGCAGUGGGGAAUAUUGCACAAUGGGCGGAAGCCUGAUGCAGCAACGCCGCGUGCGGGAUGACGGCCUUCGGGUUGUAAACCGCUUUCGCCUGUGACGAAGCGUGAGUGACGGUAAUGGGUAAAGAAGCACCGGCUAACUACGUG
Molecule: ribosomal RNA, 467 nt
Filed under: uncultured bacterium
Lineage: Bacteria
Description: partial 16S ribosomal RNA
Rfam family: Bacterial small subunit ribosomal RNA
Source: RNAcentral